GGCAGGGUGACGCUUCUGGGUGUGGAUGAAGUGAGGGAAUUUAGCCGGAUCUCUGAGGAAGAAGACAGGUGUGUUGUUGGCAACCAUGUCCCAAUUGCCUUCGUCUGUCCUGAACUUGACGGCGAAGCCUCGAGGGUCGCGGGCGCAGUCGUGGGAGCCAGACUCGCCACCGACGGUCGAGAAUCGGAUGGUGAUGGGGCAUUGCUUGCCGGGCUUGAAGAUGUCUGCCAGACUCAGGUCCUCCAACGAAUCGGUGGUCUUGUAGUAUCCAUGGGCGCC
RNAcentral lists this unclassified non-coding RNA (279 nucleotides) under Hevea brasiliensis (rubber tree). Lineage: Eukaryota; Viridiplantae; Streptophyta; Magnoliopsida; Malpighiales; Euphorbiaceae. The record is from RNAcentral.